AGACUAAUACCCAAUGACGUCUCUAGAAGACAUCUGAAAGAGAUUAAAGAUUUAUCGGUGAUGGAUGGGGAUGCGUCUGAUUAGCUUGUUGGCGGGGUAACGGCCCACCAAGGCGACGAUCAGUAGGGGUUCUGAGAGGAAGGUCCCCCACAUUGGAACUGAGACACGGUCCAAACUCCUACGGGAGGCAGCAGUGAGGAAUAUUGGUCAAUGGGCGAGAGCCUGAACCAGCCAAGUAGCGUGCAGGAAGACGGCCCUAUGGGUUGUAAACUGCUUUUAUAAGGGAAUAAAGUGAGACUCGUGAGACUUUUUGCAUGUACCUUAUGAAUAAGGACCGGCUAAUUCCGUGCCAGCAGCCGCGGUAAUACGGAAGGUCCGGGCGUUAUCCGGAUUUAUUGGGUUUAAAGGGAGCGUAGGCCGGAGAUUAAGCGUGUUGUGAAAUGUAGACGCUCAACGUCUGCACUGCAGCGCGAACUGGUUUCCUUGAGUACGCACAAAGUGGGCGGGAUUCGUGGUGUAGCGGUGAAAUGCUUAGAUAUCACGAAGAACUCCGAUUGCGAAGGCAGCUCACUGGAGCGCAACUGACGCUGAAGCUCGAAAGUGCGGGUAUCGAACAGGAUUAGAUACC
Molecule: ribosomal RNA, 628 nt
Filed under: uncultured Bacteroidota bacterium
Lineage: Bacteria; Pseudomonadati; Bacteroidota
Description: bacterial SSU rRNA
Rfam family: Bacterial small subunit ribosomal RNA
Source: RNAcentral